Molecule: ribosomal RNA, 460 nt
Filed under: uncultured bacterium
Lineage: Bacteria
Description: partial 16S ribosomal RNA
Rfam family: Bacterial small subunit ribosomal RNA
Source: RNAcentral
CCUACGGGUGGCAGCAGUGAGGAAUAUUGGUCAAUGGACGAGAGUCUGAACCAGCCAAGUAGCGUGAGGGAUAACUGCCCUAUGGGUUGUAAACUUCUUUUAUAUGGGAAUAAAACGUUCCACGUGUGGGAUUUUGUAUGUACCAUAUGAAUAAGGAUCGGCUAACUCCGUGCCAGCAGCCGCGGUAAUACGGAGGAUCCGAGCGUUAUCCGGAUUUAUUGGGUUUAAAGGGAGCGUAGGUGGAUUGUUAAGUCAGUUGUGAAAGUUUGUGGCUCAACCGUAAAAUUGCAGUUGAAACUGGCAGUCUUGAGUAUAGUAGAGGUGGGCGGAAUGCGUGGUGUAGCGGUGAAAUGCUUAGAUAUCACGAAGAACUCCGAUUGCGAAGGCAGUUCACUGGACUGUAACUGACACUGAGGCUCGAAAGUGUGGGUAUCAAACAGGAUUAGAUACCCGAGUAGUC